This 287-nucleotide ribosomal RNA is filed under the name uncultured bacterium. RNAcentral's name for it is "partial 16S ribosomal RNA". It matches the Rfam family "Bacterial small subunit ribosomal RNA", at positions 338 to 641 of the family's 1533-position model. The record is from RNAcentral.
CCUACGGGACGCAGCAGUGGGGGAUAUUGCACAAUGGGGGGAACCCUGAUGCAGCGACGCCGCGUGGGUGAAGAAGUGUUUCGGUAUGUAAAGCCCUAUCGGCAGGGAAGAAAUUGGACGGUACCUGACUAAGAAGCCCUGGCUAACUACGUGCCAGCAGCCGCGGUAAUACGUAUGGUGCAAGCGUUAUCCGGAUUUACUGCGUGUAAAGGGAGCGCAGGCGGCCCGGCAAGCCUGAUGUGAAAGCCCCCGGCCCAACCGCGGGACUGCCUUGGGAACUACCCGGC